AGUGAACGCUGGCGGUAGGCCUAACACAUGCAAGUCGAACGGCAGCACAGUAAGAGCUUGCUCUUACGGGUGGCGAGUGGCGGACGGGUGAGGAAUACAUCGGAAUCUACUUUUUCGUGGGGGAUAACGUAGGGAAACUUACGCUAAUACAGCAUACGACCUACGGGUGAAAGCAGGGGAUCUUCGGACCUUGCGCGAUUGAAUGAGCCGAUGUCGGAUUAGCUAGUUGGCGGGGUAAAGGCCCACCAAGGCGACGAUCCGUAGCUGGUCUGAGAGGAUGAUCACCCACCCUGGAACUGAGCCACGGUCCAUACUCCUACGGGAGGCCGCAGUGGGGAAUAUUGGACAAUGGGCGCAAGCCUGAUCCAGCCAUACCGCGUGGGUGAAGAAGGCCUUCGGGUUGUAAAGCCCUUUUGUUGGGAAAGAAAAGCAGCAGGUUAAUACCCCGCUGUUCUGACGGUACCCAAAGAAUAAGCACCGGCUAACUUCGUG
RNAcentral lists this ribosomal RNA (492 nucleotides) under uncultured bacterium. RNAcentral's name for it is "partial 16S ribosomal RNA". It matches the Rfam family "Bacterial small subunit ribosomal RNA", at positions 29 to 507 of the family's 1533-position model. The record is from RNAcentral.